Molecule: ribosomal RNA, 369 nt
Filed under: uncultured bacterium
Lineage: Bacteria
Description: bacterial SSU rRNA
Rfam family: Bacterial small subunit ribosomal RNA
Source: RNAcentral
AAUGAACGCUGGCGGCGUGCCUAACACAUGCAAGUCGAGCGAGAAAGUCUCUUCGGAGAUAAGUACAGCGGCGGACGGGUGAGUAACGCGUGAGAAUUUACCCUUUAGUGAAGAAUACCUCUGAGAAAUCAGGGUUAAUACUGCAUACGUCCCUACGGGAGAAAGGUGGCCUCUUUGCUGCCGCUAAAGGAUAAGCUUGCGUACUAUUAGCUAGUUGGUGAGGUAAAGGCUCACCAAGGCGAUGAUGGUUAGCCGGCCUGAGAGGGUGUACGGCCACACUGGAACUUAGACACGGUCCAGACUCCUACGGGAGGCAGCAGUGAGGAAUAUUGCGCAAUAGGGCGGAAAAGACCUGACGCAGCGACGCCG